AUUGAACGCUGGCGGAAUGCUUUACACAUGCAAGUCGAACGGCAGCACGGGGCAACCUGGUGGCGAGUGGCGAACGGGUGAGUAAUACAUCGGAACGUGCCCAAUCGUGGGGGAUAACGUAGCGAAAGUUACGCUAAUACCGCAUACGAUCUACGGAUGAAAGCGGGGGAUCGCAAGACCUCGCGCGAAUGGAGCGGCCGAUGUCAGAUUAGGUAGUUGGUGGGGUAAAGGCUCACCAAGCCAACGAUCUGUAGCUGGUCUGAGAGGACGACCAGCCACACUGGAACUGAGACACGGUCCAGACUCCUACGGGAGGCGGCAGUGGGGAAUUUUGGACAAUGGGCGCAAGCCUGAUCCAGCCAUUCCGCGUGCAGGAUGAAGGCCUUCGGGUUGUAAACUGCUUUUGUACGGAACGAAACGGUCUGCCCUAAUACGGCGGGCUAAUGACGGUACCGUAAGAAUAAGCACCGGCUAACUACGUG
Molecule: ribosomal RNA, 482 nt
Filed under: uncultured bacterium
Lineage: Bacteria
Description: bacterial SSU rRNA
Rfam family: Bacterial small subunit ribosomal RNA
Source: RNAcentral